ACAGUGGACGGCUUGGGUGCAUGGCAGGUUGGGAAAAAAGUACCGACUACCCAUACCUUCUUGUGCUGUGGACAAAAUCCGGAAAGCAUUUCCUUCGCCUUCUGGAGAAUACAAAGGAUUUGAAUAUGCUCAACACUACUGAAUGCGAGAUUUAUGUUGCUUAAUGGCUUCAGCUUUGCUGAUUUUUGAUUUGUGGUGAGUCAAUGGGACAGGUAUUUCUUUCACUCCAGCGACAUCAAGAGCUUUGGAGAGUGUUGGAUUAAUGCGUCUGCAGUACAAAACUUCUUUCAUCAAGUCCUUAACAUAUCCUGAAAAGCAAAUCAUUAUUUAUGUUGGCUUUGCAUUGCACUUUGAGAAAAGGUAAGUUUAUUUUUCUGUGCUAACCAUAAGUGCUGUCAACUUUCACUGGUUUGAUGACCCCUUGUCCUUCUUUUGACUUUGAAUAAGCCACUCUCCAAAUCAAUGCCUCUUCUGUUUGCCCAUCAUUUUUCGUUUUCUGAGGUUUAUUUCCAUUCUCAUUGAAAUGAAGAGCAGCAAUAAACAAUCUACAAAUGAAUGUUAAGUUUAUAUUUACAACUAUUGCAACUUAUUGCUUUUGCAAUGAUGACUUUUUUAAGUAAUCAUACACUAGUCAUAAUUAUAUUACCUUGCUUCCAUUGAUCUGUAGAAAAAAUGGGUAUGUUUUGGUGCAAAAAGAAUCACCACUCGGUGGAAACCUUCGAUGGAUGAAGUCUGCUUCUGAUAACUGAGUUUUCCAAUAUCUCUCAUGAGAUACUUGGACUCAACAAUCGAAGACAGCUCAACAUAAGCUUUUGAACCUAAGAUCAGAAGCUCUAACAUAUCAUGUUCACAUUUUGGGAAUACAUCACUAUGUCCCUCAUGGAUGUCACAUAUAUGAUUGAGAACUGACAACCACUUUGCCUUGACAAGUUCUUCAUCACCAUUGCUGGAAGCAGCACACCAGUAUACAUGGUUGGAAAUUGAUUGGGCCCAAUUCGACAAUAAUUUGCAAACACUUUUUUUUGAUGCUGCUAAAAUUUUCUUUUUGAUUCCUGUUGGAAUUUAAUUAUUGAUGAAAUGUGUAAAAGGUUGGUUUGUUAUGACAAUCUAUACCUUUUGCUACAUGCCAUACAUCAAAGUAGUGCUCGAUUUUUGGUCUUUGUUUUGACAUGUAGGAUUAUAUAGCUUAGUUUUUGAUAAAUGUAAACAAAUAUUGCUAACUAUAACUAUAAUAUUCA
Long non-coding RNA from Xenia sp. Carnegie-2017, 1238 nucleotides. RefSeq lists it as uncharacterized. The record is from RefSeq and is a predicted model, not a curated record. NCBI's taxonomy places the organism in Eukaryota, Metazoa, Cnidaria, Anthozoa, Malacalcyonacea, Xeniidae. The transcript is spliced from 3 exons.